CUUAUGAGGCAGCUGCGUCAGUGGCAUCCGAAGGCGGAUGAGGUGAUGAUGAUGAAGCUGACCCCCGCCAUCUCCAACGGGCCCCAUUCUCCCUCCCUCCUACUCCUCUUCCCUUGUCUUCGCCGCCCAAACCUCCCUUUCCUUCGACCACGCAUCCCGAGGGCGGAGAUGUCGUCGUCGUCCUCCUCCUCCUCCUCCUCCCAAAGGGAGCAGGCUGCCGUCGCCUCAUCCUCCGCCCCUCCUCUACCGGCCAACCGAAUCGUGUUGGGUUGCGGCGCGGUGUCGGUGGAUUAUUUGGCCUCGGUGGCUUCCUUCCCAAAGCCUGAUGAUAAGAUCCGAAGCACGAGCUUGAAGGUAGGAGGAGGCGGAAAUACGGGAAAUGCUUUAACAAGUGCAGCUCGUCUGGGUUUGAAACCUAGGAUAAUCUCUAAGGUGGCUAGUGAUGCACAAGGUGAAAAUGCGCUUGCAGAACUUGAAGCUGAUGGAGUUGAUACAUCCUAUAUGGUGGUUUCAGAAACUGGAAAUUCACCAUUUACCUAUAUAAUAGUCGACAACCAAACGAAAACUCGUACCUGUAUUCACACCCCGGGAGACCCUGAAAUGGUGCCAGAAGAUCUUUCACGGUCUAGCUUGUCUUCUGCUUUAGAUGGUGCAAGUCUUGUGUACUUUGAUGGAAGAUUGCAUGAAACUGCUUUGGUUGUUGCUGAAGAGGUGGCAAGCCGAAGGAAAAUUCCUAUUUUAAUUGAUGCAGAAAGAAAGAGGGAGGGACUGGAUGAUCUUCUUAACCUGGCAACUUACAUUGUAUGCUCAGAAAAAUUUCCCCAGGCAUGGACAACUGCACCAUCUAUUCCUACUGCACUAGUAUCUAUUCUUCUGAGACUACCUCAUGUCAAAUUUGUAAUUGUGACCCUUGGAGAUAAAGGCUGCAUGUUGCUUGAGAGAAGCAUAAAUGAGGCUCCUGAGACGGAGGAAACAUAUGUAGAAAGUUUAGUUGAGUCACUGAGGCAGAAAGCUAGUGGAAGCAGUACGAUUCCGACAUGUAUUUCUUCCAAGUCAAGCCUCAGAAUUAGUGCAGAUGGAAUAGGUGCUAUAAGUGGGAGGUUACUUGUGUGUACAGCAGAGGUGGUACCUCCUUCAGAGCUAAUUGACACCACUGGUGCUGGAGAUGCAUUCAUUGGAGCAGUUCUCUAUGACCGGGUCAAGAGGUUCAGUCGGUCCAAGGCGUUACCUCAGGCUUGUUGCAUCCUUGUGUUGGAAAAGAUCUGUAUGGGGAAACAUCAUAAAGUCUUCCCCCGACAAAAUCCAUCCCUAAUCUAGAGAGACCAGCAACCAUGCGACCUUCUUACACGACUAUAGUUGUUGGUUUUUUUUUUUGGAAAAAAAAAGACCAUACCAUACACACAUGAACGCAAAAGAAAAGAAAAGGGAUACAUGUAUGAAAGUCGGCAAUGUGGCUGCCCCUUGGUUGCCGACCUCAUGUUACGCUUUCCUUCCAGAGGAGCCGGUCUCUCACCCUCUUUGUCGGUGUAGGCAGCGAAUUCCAGAGUAGAGGCCGUUCGAGGGGAAGAAGGAGAAGGCGAUGCAGACUCCGGCGGGGGGGUUCUUGUGCCAGCAACAAGAGCAGCAGGAGCAGGAUACGAUGGAGGAGGCGGGCGUCGUCGGCGGGGUGGGCAUGGAGGUGGACGACGCCGACCCCAUUGACGUCCUCCCCGAGUUCGACAAGCAUCUCCCCCCGGUCGACGCCGACUUCUUCAACUCCUUCGACGACGACUUCGACGACCAAGACCUUGCCUGAUCAACAACCAUUUCCCUCUUUCCCUCCCCGGAGAUAGGACUUCAAUGCCUCGUCUACUGUGGAAGGGAGAAACAGAGGUGUUUGGUCCAUUCUUCAGUCUAUGUCAGUGGCUUUAGAGAUGCUAGGUCAUUUAUGUUAAGUGGCCAUCCUGGUGUUAGAUUACUCAUUACUAUGUAGAUAUAUAAGUCAGUCAGUUGGAAAGGUCACUGUGCUGCAAUAGAUGUUAAGACCAAACAUUUAAAAGCAUGGUUUGUCAUACCGGUGUAUAAUGCUCCGUACUAAAUAUAUCCUAACAUGUAUGGUUAUCUAAUCAAGAUUUGGUAAAGGGGAUGCACCACAUCUCAGUAUGCCAAAUUGACUCCAUAUUGAGCAUACUAAUACCACAUUAUUAGUAUGGUAUCGAGUAUUGAGUAUGAGGUUCAGUACCGAGAUUACGAACCUUGUUUAAAAAAAUUCUGUACAUCAAAUUUAAUAUAAUUUUAUAAAGUGGAAAAUGAGUUAAUUAAA
Molecule: non-coding RNA, 2302 nt
Organism: Elaeis guineensis (African oil palm)
Lineage: Eukaryota; Viridiplantae; Streptophyta; Magnoliopsida; Arecales; Arecaceae
Source: RefSeq, a predicted model, not a curated record